GAUGAACGCUGGCGGCGUGCCUAAUACAUGCAAGUCGAGCGAACAGACGAGGAGCUUGCUCCUCUGACGUUAGCGGCGGACGGGUGAGUAACACGUGGAUAACCUACCUAUAAGACUGGGAUAACUUCGGGAAACCGGAGCUAAUACCGGAUAAUAUAUUGAACCGCAUGGUUCAAUAGUGAAAGACGGUUUUGCUGUCACUUAUAGAUGGAUCCGCGCCGCAUUAGCUAGUUGGUAAGGUAACGGCUUACCAAGGCGACGAUGCGUAGCCGACCUGAGAGGGUGAUAGGCCACACUGGAACUGAGACACGGUCCAGACUCCUACGGGAGGCAGCAGUAGGGAAUCUUCCGCAAUGGGCGAAAGCUUGACGGAGCAACGCCGCGUGAGUGAUAAAGGUCUUCGGAUCGUAAAACUCUGUUAUUAGGGAAGAACAAAUGUGUAAGUAACUAUGCACGUCGUGACGGUACCUAAUCAGAAAGCCACGGCUAACUACGUG
This 497-nucleotide ribosomal RNA is filed under the name uncultured bacterium. RNAcentral's name for it is "partial 16S ribosomal RNA". It matches the Rfam family "Bacterial small subunit ribosomal RNA", at positions 28 to 507 of the family's 1533-position model. The record is from RNAcentral.